UACGGGGGGGGCAAGCGUUGUUCGGAAUUACUGGGCGUAAAGGGCUCGUAGGUGGCCAACUAAGUCAGACGUGAAAUCCCUCGGCUUAACCGGGGAACUGCGUGUGAUACUGGAUGGCUUGGAUUUGGGAGAGGGAUGCGGAAUUCCAGGUGUAGCGGUGAAAUGCGUAGAUAUCUGGAGGAACACCGGUGGCGAAGGCGGCAUCCUGGACCAAUAUUGACGCUGAGGAGCGAAAGCCAGGGGAGCAAACGGG
RNAcentral lists this ribosomal RNA (253 nucleotides) under uncultured bacterium. Its description in RNAcentral is "partial 16S ribosomal RNA". It matches the Rfam family "Bacterial small subunit ribosomal RNA", at positions 524 to 776 of the family's 1533-position model. The record is from RNAcentral.